RNAcentral lists this ribosomal RNA (150 nucleotides) under uncultured Helicobacter sp. Its description in RNAcentral is "partial 16S ribosomal RNA". It matches the Rfam family "Bacterial small subunit ribosomal RNA", at positions 278 to 423 of the family's 1533-position model. Lineage: Bacteria; Pseudomonadati; Campylobacterota; Epsilonproteobacteria; Campylobacterales; Helicobacteraceae. The record is from RNAcentral.
GACGGGUAUCCGGCCUGAGAGGGUGAACGGAUCUCACCUGGAGCUGAGACACGGUCCAGACUCCUACGGCAGGCAGCAGUUCAGGGAAUAUUGCUCAAUGGGGGAAACCCUGAAGCAGCAACGCCGCGUGGAGGAUGAAGGUUUUAGGAU